This is a long non-coding RNA of Penaeus monodon (black tiger shrimp), 1310 nucleotides long. RefSeq lists it as uncharacterized. The transcript is spliced from 2 exons. NCBI's taxonomy places the organism in Eukaryota, Metazoa, Arthropoda, Malacostraca, Decapoda, Penaeidae. The record is from RefSeq and is a predicted model, not a curated record.
CUUGAAGAAAAUCUAUAAUCAUUUUUACAGUCAAACCGGAUUUUACAUAAGCAGUAUGAGUCAUGCUGAUCACUUUGCACACCUGGUCUAUUUUCGUGACACACUCUUCAUCCACUGUGACAUUGCCUGACAAAUGUGUUUUAAGCCGAAGUAAACAAGCAUUCGACUGUUUGUUUCCUUGCUGCCGGGGAACACUUGGGGAUUUGAUAGAUGUAUUGCCUAACAAUUCUUCAGUUACCACUGAAACUUCGACGGGCUUCUAGAUGGCGCACCAUGUCAUCAGCUUUAGGCUCUCGCAUCGAAUAAAACCACGAUUAUGAAAAAUAUUAGGCUAUGUAUCAAACAAUAUUUAGACUUAGUUUAUAAAAGAUACAAAAGUUUGGUGCAUGCGGAAGAAAAACACAGAAAUGACUAGUUGGAAAUGCUGGAUGACGUCAUGGUCGGUCCCAGUCAGCGGCCAUAUUGUAAGCGAGAGAGACGGUGGAGGAAGGUGUCGAUGGAUUGAGGAGAAUUACUAUCUUAAACAAGAAACGAUUGAUAUUAGGUACUUUUAGGCGUCGUCGAGAACUUUGCAAAAUAUAACAAUGGAUGACAAAACACAGAUGAAAGAGUUAAACCAGUGGAUAGACCAGUUGAUGGAGUGUAAACAGUUGGCGGAGAAUCAAGUCAAAACUCUCUGUGAAAAGGUAAGACCGGAUUAUUAUUUUAUCCCCCUUUAGGCUCCUCGUGUCUCCUCCCUGCUGAUUUUCGCAAAACACUGAUGCUCUUGGGGGCGCUGCAUAUUUCCCCCCGGAAGGCGACGAGGCAGGGGCGAGCGGGAGGCAGAGAGAAGGCAAAUAGGAGACGGCGGAGGAGAUGCUGCAGGACCCACACCCAGCGAGGCCGCCGCUGUCACGUCUCGCUUUUCAGCCGAAGAAGGCCUGGUCAUCGGCCUCCCUCUCUCCGCCUGGCUCGAAGCUCCGGAAUUGGGACCGGGGACAGUUGCGAUUUGCCCUCCUGCAGGGGAAGGGCGGCCCGGCGGUUGAGACGGCCUUGCAGAGGGAAUCGCAGGGCGCAAGAGCACGGGGACGUCCGGGUAGCCAUGACAAGUUCGCCCAAUGUUAUUCCUGCCUCGUUCAUUUCAUUCAGAGCGAAUGGAUUCUGCAAGAUGGGUUAUGUGAUAUAUUGAUCAUGGUAUCAGAAAUUUAAAGUAGUUAACAGCAAACACUUGAGAAUGAAAUCAAAGAAAGAACAUAACAUGAAUAAAAUAUUUUAAAGUGCUGUAUCCAUUACCAUGUGAAAAAAAAAUCAAAUUUCAAACCUUGGGUUUA